This is a non-coding RNA of Podarcis lilfordi (Lilford's wall lizard), 73 nucleotides long. NCBI's taxonomy places the organism in Eukaryota, Metazoa, Chordata, Lepidosauria, Squamata, Lacertidae. The record is from the annotation of a GenBank genome assembly.
GCUGGGAUAGCUCAGUCGGCAGAGCGCAAGGUGAUUCAUCUGAGGGUCCUGGGUUCGAGUCCCGCUCUGGGCA